Non-coding RNA from Xyrichtys novacula (pearly razorfish), 7571 nucleotides. Lineage: Eukaryota; Metazoa; Chordata; Actinopteri; Labriformes; Labridae. The record is from the annotation of a GenBank genome assembly.
UCGAGACUCGAUACCCAACCCUAACUGUCACCGGCUCUCCAAGAAAGAAAAAGCGUUUAUAAAUGUUAGAGAAAGAAAUUAAAGAGUUUGGUCGAUUACAGAUUCGCUCAAAUUGACCAAUUUAAUCGUCUCGCCGAUAAAUCGGUCGGGCCCUAGUGGACAAUGCAGGUGACAUGAUCAGAAAACAUCUUGAUCAUCUUUGCACGGCUAUUUCAUCAGUUUCUUUUGCAUAUCAAAACCUUAGAAAAACCAUGAUUGGUGGAAGUAGAUAAAAUGUGAGCUGCCGUGAGCUUUUUUAGUGGCUCUAAGAAAUAAAAGGCCGUUGAAUCAAAGGCCAGCCAUUAGUUUCAUCAUUUACCAUCACAUAUACCCUGUCUGAGAUUUAAAGCUGGGUAAUAAUCAUUGCAGUUGGUAGCCAAGCCAUUUCUGUUAUGCUCUGAGGCUGGAAAUAUAUACCAUGAGAUGAAUAAGCUCUUAUGAUGUGUAGUUUUUCUUCGCUGACACGUCCCCCCUCCUUGUUCAAACUGAAAAGUGGUUGAAAACUUUCCUCCAUCCCUUAUCUUCCCAGGAGAGAUUUACACGGAGGAAAGCCUGUCCUGGCCCCGGGGCGCGCACUACCUGGUAACUAAUGAAAAUGAAACAUUUGUUCUUUAGGGCACCUCACAGGCACACAGCCCGGCCCGCUGCGGGGCUCACGCUAAAGCCUGCACAGCCCCUUUGAUAGAUUGGCGGGAGGGGGGUGAGAGCUAACUUUAGCCCUUAAUGGUUUGAAAUAUGCUUGCGCUACAGUUUUUUCGCUGUGAGGCCAAAUGAUAUCCCCUCUCCUGAUGAUUUAUCAAGCCCAUUCAGAGCCUUCUCGUCGGGAUAAAUUGGCCGCUGCCUGGUGUAAUGCCCUUGAUGGAUAAUCGUCUCAUUUUUCUUGAUUAUUCUAUCUAUAUGGCUGUUGCUUAAAAAUCAAAAUGAAUAUCACAAACAUAAUGCCUCGGCCAUUCUCGCCUCAUACAUCUUAGAUUAUGUGAUGAUGGUAAUAAUGGUUGGUGAUUAGGACACGCCAGGAGCCAAAUUAAGUGAGAGCUUAUGGAGCCUCCAGUGCAAUUUGACCUACGACCUCAUGGGCUUUGCUCAGAUCAAGUUAGCUGCUGGAUUUAUACGGACGGCACAAAUGUGAUCACAGCUUUGAAUUUGUCCUGGUAUGUCCAAUUUUGGUGUAAUCUGUUGUUAGUAUUAUUAUUUGUUUCGCUUUAAUUCUAGUCUGACUCAAACUGCUUUUUGGACCAAGCUGUAAAAAAUAGUAAAUUUUGCCCUAAAGAUGAGCUUUUUGAAUGGGUGUGAAUGGGGCUCCCAGUGAUUUUGCAGCCAGCCUCUAGUGGACACUCCAGGAAAUGCAAUUUUAAGCACUUUAUUUCUCAAGACUAAAGGUCCUUACAUACAGGGAACGACGCAAAUAUACGACACGAAAUUACAAAAUAUUCAGAGGCGAAUUUUGAUGUGCCUGACUAUACAAAUCAAUCGAGUUCUAAUAAACUUAAAGCUCCUGUGAGGAACUUUUUUAUGCCCCAUUUAUUAGGCCCCCUGUGGUCAAAGCAAUUUUUACUUUACUUGUCAUCCACAUAUUUCAAUGGUGUCUUUCUGUCAAAUUUAUAAAAUGCUCUUAAAUCAUUCAGUAAAAUGAAAAAAAGAGACCUGUUUUUCUGCUCAGCUAAAACCUACCCCCCAAAUCAAUUCCAGGCAUUUGAAAUUACAACAUUCAAAUUGUCAAUCUUGUGUCUAAAGGUCUUUUUUGUUGUUUUUAAAGCUGUUUGAAUUCAUUGGUGAAUUUUUGUAAAUGCAGGCUCAAAGCUCUGUAAAAUCAUACUCCAUCUUUAUUGUAUUUAAAGACGUUUUUAUUGUGUUUUAACACUGAAACCUGAAUAACAUUUGUAGCUCUUUGUACCAUCAGACUAAGGUUACUUCUGUAGCUUCUGUAGCAAAUAACGGUAAUUUUUUAAGCCUUUUUACCCUCUCUUGACCUCCAUCAAUACACAGUAUAACCUCAUUUAAAAGAAAUACUUAUUUCCUGCCACUGGAGACGCCAAAGUAAAGACGAUCAAAACUCAUAAUAACAUUUUUAUUAAAAACAGUGAUGAAAGUGACAUGAGUUUACUUUAUUUGCAAAGUCAUAACGCAAUGUCUUUCAAUUUAGAGCACAUUAAUAUCUGAUUUCAUGCUCUCUGUGUCUGUUCCAGUGGGCUGCUCUGUCCUUUCAUAUAUUUGUGUUUUCGUCUCAGGGAUAUUCUUAUUCAAAAUAGGCAAUUUUAUUUUGACAGCUAUUUGUAUGUAAAGUGCGAGAGGGAGGCAGAGGAGGAGGACGAGGGGAGGCACCUUGUCAUUGCUCCUGUACUUUGCUGUUUGCUGAAGCAGCCCUUUUUUUUUUUCUCCCAGAAUAGUCCAAGACGUCCUCUCAGUGGAUUAGAUGUUCUCCCUCACAAUACAUCCUCAGCAAGGUAGAGUUAAGGGAUAGGAAAAGAGAAGUGGAAGGCAUUUUUUGCAGCUGACUCACAUUCAGAUUUCUAUUUUUCUCACUUGCCUUGUGUCUUUUCUUAUUUUAGACUUUUGCAAUAUGCUCAUGUACUUGUAAACACCAGAAAACUCACAGUUUGCUUUUAUUUUCUCCCUGAAAUUGUCAGUUUCAAUGAGGAUAUUCAGUGAUGCUGUCAUUGCUUUUGGUGGCUGGGGGUAUAUCGGCUUUUGUGUAAAUGCACCACGUCUAGCCAUUAAGUAGCUUUGCACUGACCUUCAAUUUGAUGUCUCAAUAAGUAUUGCAUGGAUUCAAUCAACGUUGCAUCAUUGAAUUACAGAUAGUUUUACCUGAUGUGAAAGUUGAGACAUAGUUCGGCAAGAAUUUCACAAGUUUGAGCCGUUUUUAGACCCAGAUCCCAACAGUAAUGUAGAGGGGUUAAAAGGAGUAGCCUCAAUCUAAACUCUAGACAAGCAGGCUCUACAGGGGUCUCGAAUUGGUUGAGACCCCAUUUAUUCUGCCUUGUGAUCACACCUCACUGAAUACUCCAAUCCUUUCCAAACUUGGGGUGUGAGCAAGAGUUUUAAACAGUUGGUACUUUUUUUGUGACUGCCUGGGGAUACCAAAUGCUUGAGGGCCUGUGUCCACUACCAGCGUUUUUCAUACUGGCAAAUGCCCAUGACCUCAAUUUCAGAUAGCUUCUUAUUGUUGCUAGGUUAUGAAAAUUAUACCAGAGCAAUAAUAAUUCUUUAAGUCUGUUUAAAACUUCUCUGUGUGAUCCAAAUCAGCUUUUAUUUCAUGGAAUUUUACAUGAACAUUUGUACUAAGUAACGGAAAAAUUGCCCUAGCUUUGGCAGUGGCUCCAGAUCUUGAAGGGUAUCUCAAAAAUUGAUAGUGGUCAGUUUCUCUCAUGUGCUUACCCCCAACAUUGUUGUCCAUGUGGGUUACAUCAGACAACCCACUUCCUCUCGGUUUGUAUUGGUCUUUGGGAGAUGUAACAUCAACUAUUGAGGCUCACAAAGAGGGCCUAUUGACACUUACACUGUCAUUAGUUCUGUAUUUAAAAAAGGUGCUACAAGGCUUGCAGUCAGAUUCAACUAUUGUACCUGAAAGUAACAAGUGUCCAACAAUACAAGUUUAAAAAAAUAAAAUAAAAUAAGGUCCUGCAAGCGCCAAAUAGAUAAUUAAUGCUCUCAGUGGACAUAGGCCCUUAAACUCAGUUUACUUUCAUUUGGUGUUUUUUUUUUGAGCUGCUAACCCAAACUUGGCAGAAAUUGUGACGAAGGGUCUCAUUUUGCAAGAAAACAACCGAUCCAAAAAUUUACAACUCAUAUCUUCAUCCACACCAAACUAGCUAGUUCAACAACUUCCCUAGUACGAGGCUGAUAAACUAUCCAAAGAAGACAGAAGGUAUAACAUUUCACCAAGACCUGAAAGCCUAAAUUAGAGCUAAAUAAUGUUCAAAUGCUACGUAGAUUUAAAGUAAACUCAAGCAGUGGGUGAUAUUGAUCUGUUGGAUCAUCACCAAAGAGAACUCCUGCUGUUUUACAACAAAGUAAGAGUACAUUAACAAGCAUAGAUUAAGGACUUAAAAAUGUCUUUGUAAAGCAAACUUAAGGUACAAGCUGCAGUCUGUUUCCAAUCGUGUUUGAUCAACGAUAAACUACUCUCAAAGUGAACCGUUUGUUCAUACCAACAGUCUCAAAAAGUACAACAUAUGCUUGUAUAGCUGAAACAAGCAUUAGCAUACUGUUUGAUACAGGUGAAGAGUUAAAUAUUCUCUCAUUAUAUUCUCUAAUAAUGUAAUCCAUCAUUAUAUCCUGUCAGCUAUGUCGGUAAGCAGGAGGAUGUCCUCAGUGGUUACUGAACAGAUGGCAGCCAUCUUUAGGUGCAAACAACCUGCCACCAAGGAGAGACAAAACCGUGGGAGCGGCAGAACAAAGAGAAAGCGGUGGCCAAUAAAGAGCUGAUUUUACAAUCUCUCAAACACACGCCUCGCUUAUGAGUGUGAUUUCAGCACGGCAAUUACAGGUUCAUUAAUAUUGCAAAGGGACAAACACUGGAGCUGUCAGAGGAAAUCUGGUGUAAUCCAAACUCCACCGGUUCUUAUGCUGCAAAUCCUUGACGCGGAUAUUUGAUCUGUGAUUUAUUAAUCGGACAGUUCGGGGAGAAUGAUGAGAGUUGGAUAAAAACAUUGAUGCAACACAGAGAUCUGUAAAACAAACUUGAUACUGGAGGUGGCAGAUAGAAGAAACAACUGACCUUUAACUCAAAAAUGACCCAAUUAAUGUGAUAUAUCAUAAUUGUUGAAUGAAUACAAAAAUAUUACUUAAUAACAGUAGGGAUCUUAACAAAAUGUUGACUUUUUCUUAUAAUAGGCCUUAAAAAGCAUGUGGUUAUGUCAAAGCUGGGGCUGUAGCUCAAGUUAAUACAACUGUCGUACUACAAUAAUACUAAGAACAGAUUCAAACCUGUUCAUCACUUAUCAUCUGCAGAUUAUGUGAACCUACGUAGAAUUAUGUUAAGAACUAGAGCUCAGUUUUGAUGGUUUUACAUAUCUGUGUGAACAACAAGUAAAUAAAUAGCGUUGGAACCUCCAUAGUUCAAAGGAGUGGUCGACUGAAGUGGCUUUCUUAAACAGCAGGUGCUAAUAAUUAGCAGAUAGACCAAUAACUGAUAUAUAUUGCCAAUACCACUGUUUUUUUUUUCCAAUUAAUACAACAGUUUAAUAACAAUACCAAUUAUAGCAUGCACAUUAUAAUCUAUUUAUACAUGGCUAACUUAGCUAGUAUCGAGUUUUAGGUAGAUUUUUGAUUGAUUUGUACAUAUAAAUGGUUAAGUUGUAUAUAAUGUUAGAAAGUAUUGUUAUUUCUGCCGAUGUAACAUGACAUAUAUUGAACAUUAAGCAGUAACUAUUUUAGAACUGGUAUGGUGUCAUUCACAAUAGGCAAAAGGGUGUUAUCAUUUCUGAGGACGUUACUGUUGUUUGACAGCAGCCACACUUGCACGACUGCCUGCAGUGUCUGCAGAUGUUUGUCGAGUUUUUAACCAAGCUUGUCCUAACCGAGAAAUAGUCCAACAGGUAACAACUAAUAAGAUGCUAACUCUUCGAUCUAGAGCUGCAGCUAUCAAAUAUUUUAGUAAUUGAGUUUUCUACUGAAUAUUCUAUCGAUUACUUGAGUAAUUGGACUCAAACGGCGGACUCACAUAAAGUUAGAUUUCCUAUAGCUCUGCAAUGAAGGCCAGAAUCGUAGAAAUAGAAGACAAUCGCGGAACAAGCGUGUGCGUUAGCAGAUUGCAAAGCUCGUAAGAAAGCUAAUUAUGAUAUUAGCUGUCAUCAUGCCCCUAAAGACAUUAGUGUCCAAGAGCUGAAUAGCUCCGAUGUUACCUGCUUCUGCUACGACACCAGCAAUGUUAGUCUAAAAGCUAACGUGAAGAGAAGUAUGCAGAGCAGCGCUGUCUCCACCCACGACUCGGAGGCUAAGUGCUAAGAAAACAGUGUUGCCAACUCCUCAGUAAGGAAUGUCGUUAGGUUGGUAACACUGCAAGACAAAACCCUCUCAUUUAUUUUUUCCACUCCGCAAAACCUAAACAGCGCUUACUCCUCCUUCUACUGUGGUGAUGUAAGUGCAUUGUGUCACUUUAAAAAGAAUCUGUGCGAAACAGUGACGAUUUGAGCUUAUAAACGAGUACUUGAGACAGAGAAAAUUCCCUGAUCAGUAUUUGUAAAUGAGGUUCUCGAGGUAUUCCAGGAAUCGUUUCAGCCCUACUUCAAUCACAUGCUUAACUUUAUAUUUAGCAAUUUAACAAGAAAAAUUCCCAGAUAACCAGCAACUCCUCAGUAUGUAGUUCUCUCUAAGGGUUUGACAAAUGCAUUUAUGAGUGAACUUCCUCAAGUCUGUUUGUUAUCACACAAACAUUGCCACACAGACUUUAAACUUCAUUAAUUUACCCGAGACACUGUCACAAAGGACCGCGAAGAUAGCGGUCGUUUGAUUGAUUGCGUCGGCUGAAAUGCCAAGCCGGAUGUUUUCACCCCAGUCCAGCCCUGCUGAGACACAACCUUCACAACAUUUAUUCCCUCCACACCGGCUUCCAUAUCACGUUGACCUGUCUAAAUUAUCUCUCAACAUUUGUGUUUCAGUCGACAGUUGACUUUUUCACUCUCAGUCUUACAUCUGUACUUCAUCACAUUUACAGUGUUUGACUCUUGAACAAAUCCUCUGAUUGUAUUCAGCUCACGUGCUACAACAUGGUCCUCACCCAAGACGGCAAAAAGAUCUUUUCAACCCUACAACAGCCACCCAGCCGAGCACAACUAAAUAAUAUCCACCCAUUAAAUUUUCAUCGGGCUUUCCCGAGACUCCAUUUUGUCCGUUUUCUUGUUUAUUCUUAAGGCGCUAAAAGGAGGUGCCCGGGCGCAGCUGCAUUGAUAUAUUUUUUUUUCCACAUUCAUGUCAUGCCACUCUGUGUGUGGUUUCAAUUAUGCAUGUGGUUCUUAUCUAUGAAUGCAUGAUGUUUGACUGUGCAGAAAGCACUCAGAGGGUGUUUGUAGGGAGUGCUGCGAGGAGUCGAGAGCUCGCUGCUACUGCUGCUGCUGACAGAGCAGCACAUGAGGUGUGGGAACAGUCACAUGUUGGUAAAAAAAAAAAAAAAAAGUGCUAUAGUCACUCCUGUUAUUCUCACAUUUACGAGUUAUCCUCAAACAUUUGUAAAUGAUGAUUAAAACAGUGUUGGAGAUUUGUUUUAAGCAUCAGGGUUAGGAAGCGAGGCUGGGGAAAGAUGAAGCACAAAAAAGCGGUUUCCUUUAACAUCAUGCCUAAUAUGUUUUUGUAAUCAGUGACGCUAACUCCUUAGUAAGGAAAGUCGCUAGUGGCUGUUGUAAAAGUCGCUAGAAGUCGCUAAAUGACGUCAUUGCCUAAUUUGCAUAAUUUCUCCGCCAAAUACUAGCUACCUGUUGCGAAGAGUAACAUAUACCUGCUUUCACGGUAGAGUCUCUAAACUCCAGAAAAAGUCGCAAGAUUUGUCGCAAUGCGCUUUUUUGAAAAUAAGUCGCUAGGGGGUCGAUACCUGC